RNAcentral lists this ribosomal RNA (424 nucleotides) under Fusobacteriota bacterium. RNAcentral's name for it is "Fusobacteria bacterium partial 16S ribosomal RNA". It matches the Rfam family "Bacterial small subunit ribosomal RNA", at positions 355 to 776 of the family's 1533-position model. The record is from RNAcentral. Lineage: Bacteria; Fusobacteriati; Fusobacteriota.
UGAGGAAUAUUGGUCAAUGGGCGAGAGCCUGAACCAGCCAAGUAGCGUGCAGGAUGACGGCCCUAUGGGUUGUAAACUGCUUUUAUGUGGGGAUAAAGUGCGUGACGUGUCAUGCAUUGCAGGUACCACAUGAAUAAGGACCGGCUAAUUCCGUGCCAGCAGCCGCGGUAAUACGGAAGGUCCGGGCGUUAUCCGGAUUUAUUGGGUUUAAAGGGAGCGUAGGCUGUCUAUUAAGCGUGUUGUGAAAUUUACCGGCUCAACCGGUGGCUUGCAGCGCGAACUGGUCGACUUGAGUAUGCAGGAAGUAGGCGGAAUUCCUGGUGUAGCGGUGAAAUGCUUAGAUAUCAUGACGAACUCCGAUUGCGCAGGCAGCUUACUGUAGCAUAACUGACGCUGAUGUACGAAAGCGUGGGUAGCAAACAGG